CAGCAGCCGCGGUAAUACAGAGGUCCCGAGCGUUGUUCGGAUUCACUGGGCGUAAAGAGUGUGUAGGAGGUUGGAUAAGUCAGGUGUGAAAUCCCGCAGCUCAACUGCGGAACUGCAUUCGAUACUGUCCAACUAGAGGAUCGGAGGGGGAAGCGGAAUUCUUGGUGUAGCGGUGAAAUGCGUAGAUAUCAAGAGGAACACCAAUGGCGAAGGCAGCUUCUUGGUCCAUUCCUGACGUUCAUACACGAAAGCGUGGGGAGCAAACAGGAUUAGAUACCCGCGUAGUCCCUGUCUCUUAUAC
RNAcentral lists this ribosomal RNA (301 nucleotides) under uncultured bacterium. Its description in RNAcentral is "partial 16S ribosomal RNA". It matches the Rfam family "Bacterial small subunit ribosomal RNA", at positions 509 to 807 of the family's 1533-position model. The record is from RNAcentral.